UACGAAGGGGGCUAGCGUUGUUCGGAUUUACUGGGCGUAAAGCGCACGUAGGCGGAUUGUUAAGUGAGGGGUGAAAUCCCAGGGCUCAACUUCGGAACUGCCCUUGAUACAGCACGUCUUGAGUCCGAUAGAGGUGGGUGGAAUUCCUAGUGUAGAGGUGAAAUUCGUAGAUAUUAGGAAGAACACCGGUGGCGAAGGCGGCCCACUGGAUCGGUACUGACGCUGAGGUGCGAAAGCGUGGGGAGCAAACAGG
This 253-nucleotide ribosomal RNA is filed under the name uncultured bacterium. Its description in RNAcentral is "partial 16S ribosomal RNA". It matches the Rfam family "Bacterial small subunit ribosomal RNA", at positions 524 to 776 of the family's 1533-position model. The record is from RNAcentral.